RNAcentral lists this long non-coding RNA (221 nucleotides) under Cyanistes caeruleus (blue tit). RNAcentral's name for it is "lncRNA (ENSCCEG00000016996.1)". The record is from RNAcentral. Lineage: Eukaryota; Metazoa; Chordata; Aves; Passeriformes; Paridae.
CAGGCCUGAACCUUUCAGUCUACCCCAGAAGAGUGCUCUAGUGGACCCUUGAGGGAUGAUCACACUCAAGAGCCAUGGAUAUAACUAGGCACUCAGCUUUCUACAAGCUGAGACAGUCUGAAUGGCGUGUUCUAGAUGACAAAAGCUGGGAGCUGAUGAGAGGAGUUAGAGGUCAGUGCUGGCACAGGAAUGAAUGGGUAUGAAUUAAGCUUGAAUAAAAU